GUGCUCGCCUGGGCAGCACACAUACUAAAGGGGCACGAGACAGGGAUGAUUUGCAUGGCCCCCUGUAAAGGAUGACAUGCAAAUUUGUGAAGCGUUCUGUAGUUUU
Small nuclear RNA from Sorex fumeus (smoky shrew), 106 nucleotides. Lineage: Eukaryota; Metazoa; Chordata; Mammalia; Eulipotyphla; Soricidae. The record is from RefSeq and is a predicted model, not a curated record.